This is a long non-coding RNA of Rhagoletis zephyria (snowberry fruit fly), 175 nucleotides long. RefSeq lists it as uncharacterized. The record is from RefSeq and is a predicted model, not a curated record. Lineage: Eukaryota; Metazoa; Arthropoda; Insecta; Diptera; Tephritidae.
UGAAAAAUGGGAUACUGAAAAGCAAUCAUUCGCCGUAGAACUGGAAAUUUAAAAGUAAUUUAAUUUCGCAACACUCAGUUUCAGUGGAAGCUAGUGGAUAAGAGCUGUGACCAGACAAAAUAUACGUAUUUUUCUUUUCCAUUUGCAAGCUAUUGCAAACACCUACAUACAUGGG